CCUACGGGUGGCAGCAGUGAGGAAUAUUUGUCAAUGGGCGCGAGCCUGAACCAGCCAAGUAGCGUGAAGGCUGACUGCCCUACGGGUUGUACACCUCUUUUAUAACGGAAUCAAGUGAGGCACGUGUGCCUUUUUGUAUGUACUUUAUGAAUAAGGAUCGGCUAACUCCGUGCCAGCAGCCGCGGUAAUACGGAGGAUCCGAGCGUUAUCCGGAUUUAUUGGGUUUAAAGGGAGCGUAGAUGGGUUGUUAAGUCAGUUGUGAAAGUUUGCGGCUCAACCGUAAAAUUGCAAUUGAUACUGGCAGUCUUGAGGACAGUUGAGGUAGGCGGAAUGCGUGGUGUAGCGGUGAAAUGCUUAGAUAUCACGAAGAACUCCGAUUGCGAAGGCAGCUUACUAAACUGCCACUGACAUUGAUGCUCGAAAGUGUGGGUAUCAAACAGGAUUAGAUACCCGUGUAGUC
This 460-nucleotide ribosomal RNA is filed under the name uncultured bacterium. RNAcentral describes it as "partial 16S ribosomal RNA". It matches the Rfam family "Bacterial small subunit ribosomal RNA", at positions 338 to 795 of the family's 1533-position model. The record is from RNAcentral.